This 1149-nucleotide ribosomal RNA is filed under the name Sarocladium sp. RNAcentral describes it as "SSU rRNA". It matches the Rfam family "Eukaryotic small subunit ribosomal RNA", at positions 154 to 1314 of the family's 1831-position model. The record is from RNAcentral. Lineage: Eukaryota; Fungi; Ascomycota; Sordariomycetes; Hypocreales; Sarocladiaceae.
AAUUCUAGAGCUAAUACAUGCUAAAAACCCCGACUUCGGAAGGGGUGUAUUUAUUAGAUACAAAACCAAUGCCCUUCGGGGCUCUUUGGUGAUUCAUGAUAACUAUACGAAUCGCACGGCCUUGCGCCGGCGAUGGUUCAUUCAAAUUUCUUCCCUAUCAACUUUCGAUGUUUGGGUAUUGGCCAAACAUGGUUGCAACGGGUAACGGAGGGUUAGGGCUCGACCCCGGAGAAGGAGCCUGAGAAACGGCUACUACAUCCAAGGAAGGCAGCAGGCGCGCAAAUUACCCAAUCCCGACUCGGGGAGGUAGUGACAAUAAAUACUGAUACAGGGCCCUUUCGGGCCUUGUAAUUGGAAUGAGUACAAUUUAAAUCCCUUAACGAGGAACAAUUGGAGGGCAAGUCUGGUGCCAGCAGCCGCGGUAAUUCCAGCUCCAAUAGCGUAUAUUAAAGUUGUUGUGGUUAAAAAGCUCGUAGUUGAACCUUGGGCCUGGCUGGCCGGUCCGCCUCACCGCGUGCACUGGUCCGGCCGGGCCUUUCCCUCUGUGGAACCCCAUACCCUUCACUGGGCGUGGCGGGGAAACAGGACAUUUACUUUGAAAAAAUUAGAGUGCUCCAGGCAGGCCUAUGCUCGAAUACAUUAGCAUGGAAUAAUAAAAUAGGACGCGCGGUUCUAUUUUGUUGGUUUAUAGGACCGCCGUAAUGAUUAAUAGGGACAGUCGGGGGCAUCAGUAUUCAACUGUCAGAGGUGAAAUUCUUGGAUCAGUUGAAGACUAACUACUGCGAAAGCAUUUGCCAAGGAUGUUUUCAUUAAUCAGGAACGAAAGUUAGGGGAUCGAAGACGAUCAGAUACCGUCGUAGUCUUAACCAUAAACUAUGCCGACUAGGGAUCGGACGGUGUUAUUCAUGACCCGUUCGGCACCUUACGAGAAAUCAAAGUGCUUGGGCUCCAGGGGGAGUAUGGUCGCAAGGCUGAAACUUAAAGAAAUUGACGGAAGGGCACCACCAGGGGUGGAGCCUGCGGCUUAAUUUGACUCAACACGGGGAAACUCACCAGGUCCAGACACAAUAAGGAUUGACAGAUUGAGAGCUCUUUCUUGAUUUUGUGGGUGGUGGUGCAUGGCCGUUCUUAGUUGGUGGGGUGACUUGU